AUGCUCGCUUCGGCAGCACAUAUACUAAAUUUGGAACGAUACAGAGAAGAUUAGCAUGGGCCCUGCGUAAAAAGCAAUUAAAAUUUUACACAUUUUAUAAAAAUUA
Molecule: small nuclear RNA, 106 nt
Filed under: Laticauda laticaudata (blue-ringed sea krait)
Lineage: Eukaryota; Metazoa; Chordata; Lepidosauria; Squamata; Elapidae
Source: RNAcentral